Molecule: ribosomal RNA, 2363 nt
Filed under: sediment metagenome
Description: bacterial LSU rRNA
Rfam family: Bacterial large subunit ribosomal RNA
Source: RNAcentral
AGAGCACGAGGUGGAUACCUUGGCUCCACAGGCGAUGAAGGACGUACCAAGCUGCGAUAAGCCAGGAGUAGCUGCUAAGAAGCGAUGAUCCCUGGAUUUCCGAAUGGGGCAACCCCUGAGCCGUCAUGGGCUCAGACUCCACGAUGAAUUCAAUAGUCGUGAGAGAGCGUACCCGGUGAACUGAAACAUCUAAGUAGCCGGAGGAAAAGACAUCAAACGAGAUUCCCGUAGUAGUGGCGAGCGAACAGGGAACAGCCUAAACCGUACGUGUGCAAGCAUUCGGGCGUUGCACGUGCGGGGUUGUACGGCAGCCGUCUUGGAGCCGAAUCUCCAAGCACGAGUAAGAAAAUCGAUUGCUAGUAGAAGCCGGCUGGAAAGCCGCACCACAGAAGGUGAAAGUCCUGUAGGCGAAAUCAAUCGAUCUUGCGGAGUUGUUCGUGAGUAAGGCGGGGCACGAGAAACCCUGUCUGAAGCUGGGAGGACCAUCUUCCAAGGCUAAAUAUUCUGUGGAGACCGAUAGCGAAUCAGUACCGUGAGGGAAAGGUGAAAAGAACCCCCGAAGGGGAGUGAAAUAGAACAUGAAACCGCGUGCUUACAAACCGUGAAAGCACUAUUUUUAUAUGUGUGAUCGCGUGCCUAUUGAAGAAUGAACCUGCGAGUUACUUGGUACGGGCUAGGUUAAGGUGUUGAGCCGGAGCCGUAGCGAAAGCGAGUCUGAAUAGGGCGCUUUGUCCGUAUCAGUAGACCCGAAACCAAGCGAUCUAUCCAUGAGCAGGGUGAAGCAUGAUUAACCUCAUGUGGAGGCCCGAACCUGUUGUUGUUGAAAAAACAUUGGAUGACUUGUGGAUAGGGGUGAAAAGCCAAUCGAACUUGGAGAUAGCUGGUUCUCCCCGAAAUAGUUUGAGGACUAGCGUUACGAUUUAACCCUUGGGGGUAGAGCACUGACAGGGCUAGGGGGCUUACCGGCUUACCGAACCCCAUCAAACUCCGAAUACCGAGGCGGACAUCGUAGCAGUCAGACGGUGGGGGAUAAGCUUCAUCGUCAAAAGGGAAACAGCCCAGACCAACAGCUAAGGUCCCUAAUAUAUGCUCAGUGGUAAAGGAAGUCUCGUCGCACAGACAACUAGGAGGUUGGCUUAGAAGCAGCCACCCUUGAAAGAGUGCGUAAUAGCUCACUAGUCGAGUGAUGGGGCGCCGAAAAUGUAACGGGGCUCAAGCAUAUAACCGAAGCUUUGGGAUUAGCAAAACUAAUCGGUAGGGGAGCGUUGUAGUGUAGGCUGAAGGUCGACCGCGAGGACGGCUGGACGAACUACAAGUGCGAAUGCAGGUAUAAGUAGCGAGAAAAGAGAGUGAGAACCUCUCUCGCCGGAAGUCUAAGGUUUCCUGAGCAACGUCAAUCGUCUCAGGGUGAGUCGGGAGCUAAGCCGAGGCUGAGAAGCGUAGGCGAUGCACAAGCAGUUCAUAUUCUGCUACCACCGAUGACCGUUAGAUCUCUCUCGAACUGUAUAAAUUGAAAUUGCCGCGCCGAUCUCGGCGAGGCGUUUUUGGUUUAUUCGGUUCGGUAGAGAUCUUGAAUCGAAGGGAUGACGGAGUAAGAUAUGUCAGCGCACCGAUGGAUGUGUGCGUUUAAGCUGGUAGGAGGUCACGUAGGCAAAUCCGCGUGGCUAACUCCGAGAAGCGAAUACGAGGGUCUUCGGACCCGAAGUGGCAGACUCUACGCUUCCAAGAAAAGUCUCUAGAUAGGAUCAUAGGUGCCCGUACCGUACACCGACACAGGUAGACUGGCAGAGCAUGCUAAGGCGACGGGAGAACCCCUGUUAAGGAACUCGGCAAAUUGACCCCGUAACUUAGGGAGAAGGGGUGCCUUCUACGGUCUAGUCUUUACGACGAAAGCUGUGGGAGGUCGCAGAAAAUAGGUCCAAGCGACUGUUUAACAAAAACACAGGUCUCUGCGAACGCGAAAGCGGACGUAUAGGGGCUGACUCCUGCCCGGUGCUGGAAGGUUAAAGGGAGAGGUUAGCGCAAGCGAAGCUUUGAUCUGAAGCCCCAGUAAACGGCGGCGGUAACUAUAACCGUCCUAAGGUAGCGAAAUUCCUUGUCGGGUAAGUUCCGACCUGCACGAAUGGAGUAACGACUUGGGCACUGUCUCGAUGGGGGGCCCGGCGAAAUUGCAGUACCAGUGAAGAUGCUGGUUACCCGCGGCAGGACGGAAAGACCCCAUGAAGCUUUACUGUACCCUGAUGUUGGGGUCUGAGAUUUUCUGUACAGGAUAGGUGGGAGGCGAUGAUCCGGCGGCGCUAGCUGUCGGGGAGCCAACCUUGGGAUACCACCCUGAAAAUCUUGGGCUUCUAACUAGCUGCCGU